This 253-nucleotide ribosomal RNA is filed under the name uncultured bacterium. RNAcentral describes it as "partial 16S ribosomal RNA". It matches the Rfam family "Bacterial small subunit ribosomal RNA", at positions 524 to 776 of the family's 1533-position model. The record is from RNAcentral.
UACGGGGGGAGCAAGCGUUGUUCGGAUUUACUGGGCGUAAAGGGAGCGUAGGUGGCGGGGCAAGUCAGGUGUGAAAUCUCGGGGCUCAACCCCGAAACUGCACUUGAUACUGCCUUGCUAGAGUACUGGAGAGGAGAUUGGAAUUUACGGUGUAGCAGUGAAAUGCGUAGAUAUCGUAAGGAAGACCAGUGGCGAAGGCGAAUCUCUGGACAGUUACUGACACUGAGGCUCGAAGGCCAGGGGAGCAAACGGG